GGCGACCGGCGCACGGGUAAGUAACGCGUAUGCAACUUGCCUAUCAGAGGGGGAUAACCCGGCGAAAGUCGGACUAAUACCGCAUGAAGCAGGGGCCCCGCAUGGGGAUAUUUGCUAAAGAUUCAUCGCUGAUAGAUAGGCAUGCGUUCCAUUAGGCAGUUGGCGGGGUAACGGCCCACCAAACCGACGAUGGAUAGGGGUUCUGAGAGGAAGGUCCCCCACAUUGGUACUGAGACACGGACCAAACUCCUACGGGAGGCAGCAGUGAGGAAUAUUGGUCAAUGGCCGAGAGGCUGAACCAGCCAAGUCGCGUGAGGGAUGAAGGUUCUAUGGAUCGUAAACCUCUUUUAUAAGGGAAUAAAGUGCGGGACGUGUCCCGUUUUGUAUGUACCUUAUGAGUAAGGAUCGGCUAACUCCGUGCCAGCAGCCGCGGUAAUACGGAGGAUCCGAGCGUUAUCCGGAUUUAUUGGGUUUAAAGGGUGCGUAGGCGGCCUUUUAAGUCAGCGGUGAAAGUCUGUGGCUCAACCAUAGAAUUGCCGUUGAAACUGGGGGGCUUGAGUAUGUUUGAGGCAGGCGGAAUGCGUGGUGUAGCGGUGAAAUGCAUAGAUAUCACGCAGAACCCCGAUUGCGAAGGCA
RNAcentral lists this ribosomal RNA (636 nucleotides) under uncultured Bacteroidales bacterium. RNAcentral's name for it is "bacterial SSU rRNA". It matches the Rfam family "Bacterial small subunit ribosomal RNA", at positions 90 to 723 of the family's 1533-position model. Lineage: Bacteria; Pseudomonadati; Bacteroidota; Bacteroidia; Bacteroidales. The record is from RNAcentral.